AUUAAGAUAGGAGCCCUGUG
This 20-nucleotide unclassified non-coding RNA is filed under the name Chlamydomonas reinhardtii. RNAcentral describes it as "small RNA Cre_0801". The record is from RNAcentral. Lineage: Eukaryota; Viridiplantae; Chlorophyta; Chlorophyceae; Chlamydomonadales; Chlamydomonadaceae.